Long non-coding RNA from Harpegnathos saltator (Jerdon's jumping ant), 1197 nucleotides. RefSeq lists it as uncharacterized. The transcript has 2 exons. The record is from RefSeq and is a predicted model, not a curated record. NCBI's taxonomy places the organism in Eukaryota, Metazoa, Arthropoda, Insecta, Hymenoptera, Formicidae.
UUUCAAUCCAAUCUCAAUCCCAAUCCAUAGUAUGAUACGGGCUUUACGAUCUAUCGCGCUAAAUACCAAUAACGUGCGCCCAUAUGGAUUUGCAUAAGUGCAUCAUACAUAUGGAUGCACCCUAACUUUUGCAGCACCGCACGUCGCAUUUCACAGCGCAAGCGCUUCAUGCCACACUCAACUGACUCGACCUUCGCAUGGCUGAAAGAAAUGGUCAUAUGGCGACUCUUAUCUCGCGAAAAUAUGUAUGCUAUAAGGUGAUACAAGAUCAAAUGAUCGAUGAUCGAUGAUCGAAACACAUUCUGCUUGCUCAUCUGACUGACUGUCUAACUGCUUGCCCACCUGCCUACCUAGUUGCAUUGUACAUGUCAUGAUCCUAAUUUUAGCGCUCAAGACAUGAGCGAUUCAUCGAGGGAAUUGAAGGUAAUGACUCGAGAUAGCCUGCGCCUGGGGUAUCCAACUACUCUAGGAGCGGCUCUAUUUUUGCUAUCUCUUAAUCUGUAUUGCGUAUUUUUACCUCCCCCUCCUAUUGAGUUUCACGCACCCCUGUGCAGGGGUGGCGGCACGCACGUGGCCGACACAUGGCCGCACGCCAAAUAUAACGAACGCAUGGAAGCUAUCGCCCGAAAUACACAGCUGUUGGCCGUAUACGGUUUAAUGCGACGUCAGAACAAUGCGUGCGUAUUGUGUAUAUUUGUCCCUCCUUCGAAGGAAUCUUCGAAGAGGUUUCCUCCGGAAUGAAUUAUUGCGGUUGUAGAUUUGUUUUUUUUUUCACAGUAUUUGAAUUUUUUAUAUUUAAGAUAGAAUUGUGUUGCAUAGAGAUAGCUCAAAAAAUUGAUUGAAAUAAUGUAGCACUGCUGCGCACAUGCAUUUGCUCAUUACAUGCAUGAGAUUGAAUUUCCAAGCUGUAGCAAUAGUCGCGCGACACGGGUGGCAAUUUCUUCUGUUAAAGUCACAGGUGGCUCAUAUCCUUAAGUGGCGAGCCGCCACCGUAAGACGUCAGUAAAGGAACACACAGUCGAGGACAUAAUAGUUAUUAUAUAAUAUACAGUUUUAUUACCAUAUUAUCAUUAAUCAUAAGGUAUAAUAAGAAGAACGAUUCGUCGGACAGCAAUAUGAGCCGACAUCGAAGUGGUCGGUAUGGAUGAUCAUAUUCCUCGUUGUCGUUGCUGUUGUUCGAUUACCAUCUUGUAGGCA